GAUUGAAAAGGCUGGAAGCACUUGCAGAGCUUGCUUCCUGAGGUAUUUCUUGUGAUAAGACGCUUAACUGAUUUAUGGAGGUGGCAAAUGAUGGGUGCUACUAUGUGACAAUCAACAUCACUUUGACAUUUGAAAGCACCUGUAAGAGACUAUUCUUUUGUAUCAUUGACUCAAAGUUUGCUGGUAACGGGACUGCUGCUGGAUCCUGGUGGUGACUAUUAUUUGUAAUAAACUGGUCG
This 239-nucleotide long non-coding RNA is filed under the name Gallus gallus (chicken). RNAcentral's name for it is "long non-coding RNA NONGGAT008877". The record is from RNAcentral. Lineage: Eukaryota; Metazoa; Chordata; Aves; Galliformes; Phasianidae.